AGUGGCAGCGGAACAGAGGGGUAGGGCCAGAAGACUGCAAGCCCCAGUCAGGAGGCUGGAGCACGAGACCUGGUGGUACAAGCUGCACUCCAAGCCAGGCAAGAAGGAGAAGGAACGCGGCGAGAUUGAAGUCACCAUCCAGUUCACGCGCAACAACCUGAGCGCCAGUAUGUUUGACCUGUCCAUGAAGGACAAGCCAAGGUCCCCCUUCAGCAAGAUCAAGGACAAGAUGAAGGGCAAGAAGAAGUAUGAUCUGGAAUCUGCCUCUGCCAUCCUCCCAAGCAGCGCCAUAGAGGAUCCUGACCUGGGCAGCCUGGGCAAGAUGGGCAAAGCCAAAGGCUUCUUCCUCCGCAACAAGCUGCGCAAGUCGUCCCUGACCCAGUCCAACACCUCGCUGGGUUCGGACAGCACCCUGUCCUCAGCCAGCGGGAGCUUGGCCUACCAGG
Molecule: small RNA, 446 nt
Filed under: Pongo abelii (Sumatran orangutan)
Lineage: Eukaryota; Metazoa; Chordata; Mammalia; Primates; Hominidae
Description: processed transcript
Source: RNAcentral